AAUCUCCAAUCAUAUGCAACGGACGGACAGACAGCUCAUUCUGCAGCAAAGGGACACCAAUUUGUCAAUUUCACAUCCCCCACAACCCAUAUACUCACCCAUCAUCUUGUCCCCCUCAUUUGCUUCAACCCCAGCACGCACGCACUCGUGUGCCCUCUCGAUCACAAACUGCAAAAAAUGAGUCCCCCAAUCAUGGCGCGCAAGAACUGAUUCUAGUUCUGCGACGAUCAGCGGAGUUUGGCGAUCUAGCUUGAUUACUCCUGCAGCUCUGCUUCUGGGCUUUAAUGGGUGAGUUAGUUUAAGUAACCUGUUCUUCUUUCGUUGAAUUCGGCAUUGUUCUGCGCAUUUUGUAUGAUUUGUUUGUUUGUUUUGGUCAUACUGGCGUAUACUUCUGCAGUUCCUAGCACAACAUUCCAUGUAGAUUUGUUUUCAUGGCUGCCCUUUUUUACUCCUCCCUUUCCCUCUCCUUGAUUUGGACAGUUUGAACCCCAUUUGAACUUGUGGUCCUACAGUGAUCUUCUCUGCUCUGUUCGUACUGUAAAGAAACCCAGCGAUCUUUCGCCGGAUACAAGUAUAAAUCCUCGGUUUCCUUCAACACUGUACCUCCAGUUCUUGGUGUGCUGAUCGAUUAACAAUUUGAAGGAUAUUUUGGUGCAUCAGUUCCCAUAGAUUUGUGAAUCGUGAGGAUCUUUCUCUGUAUCAAUGGAGAUCAUGAGAGAUGCUGCUUCUCAUUCUUUAAGUGUUUUCUCUUCUUGAAGAGAUGUGAGGGGGUCACAUCGUAAGCUUGCUUUUGCUGGGAUUCUUGAUGCUGCUUCUUAUUCCUUCCACUAAAGCUGCCCAUCUUCUUCCUCCUUUUGCUUUCUCCCUUUGAUCAGUUCGAUGUCCGCAAGAUUCAUCCAAAGCCGUGCCCGAAGCAGCAGUUGUUGCUGAUUCCAUCCCAUUCCACACAAACACCCAUCAUUGAUCGAUCUUGCUGCUGUCCAUGUUGGCCAAAAGCAAUUCCCAAAUCCCAAUGCAAAUCCAAGAAGUAGCGAUUCUUUUGAUGUGUCGUCACUGUCGCCACUGUGACUGUCCAUACAAGAGCUCACAUUGUUGCUGCUGCUCGUGUUGUUCUUGCCAAGAAGGAGGAGGAGGAGGAGCGGCGGCGGCGGCGGCGGCGUUGAGGCGGCCACCGCGAUGCUGAGGCGCGGCGCGGUGGUGGUGGACAGAGACGGUGAGGUGGUCGUCGCGACCAAGAUCCGGAAGCGGUGCGCGCUGUCGUCGUCCGGCGCGUCGGACCCGCUGAGGAAGCUGAGGCUGAAGAAGCGAGGGGUGGUGGUGCUCGGCCGGAGAGGCGUGGGCGGCGGCGGCGGCGUCGUGUUGUCGCCGUGGUCGAGCAGGAAGAUGUCGGAGUCGUCGUGGAACGGCA
RNAcentral lists this long non-coding RNA (1408 nucleotides) under Oryza sativa (Asian cultivated rice). Its description in RNAcentral is "long non-coding RNA (OSAT_LNC000374)". The record is from RNAcentral. Lineage: Eukaryota; Viridiplantae; Streptophyta; Magnoliopsida; Poales; Poaceae.